GGGUUGUGAGGUUAAGCGACUAAGCGUACACGGUGGAUGCCCUGGCAGUCAGAGGCGAUGAAGGGCGUGCUAAUCUGCGAUAAGCGCCGGUAAGGUGAUAUGAACCGUUAUAACCGGCGAUACCCGAAUGGGGAAACCCAGUGUGAUUCGUCACACUAUCAUUAACUGAAUCCAUAGGUUAAUGAGGCGAACCGGGGGAACUGAAACAUCUAAGUACCCCGAGGAAAAGAAAUCAACCGAGAUUCCCCCAGUAGCGGCGAGCGAACGGGGAGGAGCCCAGAGCCUGAAUCAGCAUGUGUGUUAGUGGAAGCGUCUGGAAAGGCGCGCGAUACAGGGUGACAGCCCCGUACACAAAAGCGCAUGUGCUGUGAGCUCGAUGAGUAGGGCGGGACACGUGGUAUCCUGUCUGAAUAUGGGGGGACCAUCCUCCAAGGCUAAAUACUCCUGACUGACCGAUAGUGAACCAGUACCGUGAGGGAAAGGCGAAAAGAACCCCGGCGAGGGGAGUGAAAAAGAACCUGAAACCGUGUACGUACAAGCAGUGGGAGCACCCUUCGGGGUGUGACUGCGUACCUUUUGUAUAAUGGGUCAGCGACUUAUAUUCUGUAGCAAGGUUAACCGUAUAGGGGAGCCGGAGGGAAACCGAGUCUUAAUUGGGCGUUAAGUUGCAGGGUAUAGACCCGAAACCCGGUGAUCUAGCCAUGGGCAGGUUGAAGGUUGGGUAACACUAACUGGAGGACCGAACCGACUAAUGUUGAAAAAUUAGCGGAUGACCUGUGGCUGGGGGUGAAAGGCCAAUCAAACCGGGAGAUAGCUGGUUCUCCCCGAAAGCUAUUUAGGUAGCGCCUCGUGAAUUCAUCUCCGGGGGUAGAGCACUGUUUCGGCUAGGGGGCCAUCCCGGCUUACCAACCCGAUGCAAACUGCGAAUACCGGAGAAUGUUAUCACGGGAGACACACGGCGGGUGCUAACGUCCGUCGUGAAGAGGGAAACAACCCAGACCGCCAGCUAAGGUCCCAAAGUCAUGGUUAAGUGGGAAACGAUGUGGGAAGGCCCAGACAGCCAGGAUGUUGGCUUAGAAGCAGCCAUCAUUUAAAGAAAGCGUAAUAGCUCACUGGUCGAGUCGGCCUGCGCGGAAGAUGUAACGGGGCUAAACCAUGCACCGAAGCUGCGGCAGCGAACGUAUCACCCAAGACAACUUUACGGAGUUGACGAUUGACGGAGCGAAGCGACGUCAAAGCGUUCAUUAAAGUCGAGUUGGCUUAGGGAUACGUUCGUUGGGUAGGGGAGCGUUCUGUAAGCCUGUGAAGGUGUGUCGUGAGGCAUGCUGGAGGUAUCAGAAGUGCGAAUGCUGACAUAAGUAACGAUAAAGCGGGUGAAAAGCCCGCUCGCCGGAAGACCAAGGGUUCCUGUCCAACGUUAAUCGGGGCAGGGUGAGUCGACCCCUAAGGCGAGGCCGAAAGGCGUAGUCGAUGGGAAACGGGUUAAUAUUCCCGUACUUGGUGUUACUGCGAAGGGGGACGGAGAAGGCUAUGUUGGCCGGGCGACGGUUGUCCCGGUUUAAGCGUGUAGGUGUGUGUUCCAGGUAAAUCCGGUUCACUUUAACACUGAGGCGUGACGACGAGGCACUACGGUGCUGAAGCAACAAAUGCCCUGCUUCCAGGAAAAGCCUCUAAGCAUCAGGUAACAUCAAAUCGUACCCCAAACCGACACAGGUGGUCAGGUAGAGAAUACCAAGGCGCUUGAGAGAACUCGGGUGAAGGAACUAGGCAAAAUGGUGCCGUAACUUCGGGAGAAGGCACGCUGACACGUAGGUGAAGUGAUUUACUCAUGGAGCUGAAGUCAGUCGAAGAUACCAGCUGGCUGCAACUGUUUAUUAAAAACACAGCACUGUGCAAACACGAAAGUGGACGUAUACGGUGUGACGCCUGCCCGGUGCCGGAAGGUUAAUUGAUGGGGUCAGCGCAAGCGAAGCUCCUGAUCGAAGCCCCGGUAAACGGCGGCCGUAACUAUAACGGUCCUAAGGUAGCGAAAUUCCUUGUCGGGUAAGUUCCGACCUGCACGAAUGGCGUAAUGAUGGCCAGGCUGUCUCCACCCGAGACUCAGUGAAAUUGAACUCGCUGUGAAGAUGCAGUGUACCCGCGGCAAGACGGAAAGACCCCGUGAACCUUUACUAUAGCUUGACACUGAACAUUGAGCCUUGAUGUGUAGGAUAGGUGGGAGGCUUUGAAGUGUGGACGCCAGUCUGCAUGGAGCCGACCUUGAAAUACCACCCUUUAAUGUUUGAUGUUCUAACGUGGACCCGUUACCCGGGUUGCGGACAGUGUCUGGUGGGUAGUUUGACUGGGGCGGUCUCCUCCUAAAGAGUAACGGAGGAGCACGAAGGUUGGCUAAUCCUGGUCGGACAUCAGGAGGUUAGUGCAAUGGCAUAAGCCAGCUUGACUGCGAGCGUGACGGCGCGAGCAGGUGCGAAAGCAGGUCAUAGUGAUCCGGUGGUUCUGAAUGGAAGGGCCAUCGCUCAACGGAUAAAAGGUACUCCGGGGAUAACAGGCUGAUACCGCCCAAGAGUUCAUAUCGACGGCGGUGUUUGGCACCUCGAUGUCGGCUCAUCACAUCCUGGGGCUGAAGUAGGUCCCAAGGGUAUGGCUGUUCGCCAUUUAAAGUGGUACGCGAGCUGGGUUUAGAACGUCGUGAGACAGUUCGGUCCCUAUCUGCCGUGGGCGCUGGAGAACUGAGGGGGGCUGCUCCUAGUACGAGAGGACCGGAGUGGACGCAUCACUGGUGUUCGGGUUGUCAUGCCAAUGGCACUGCCCGGUAGCUAAAUGCGGAAGAGAUAAGUGCUGAAAGCAUCUAAGCACGAAACUUGCCCCGAGAUGAGUUCUCCCUGAGACUUAGAGUCUCCUGAAGGAACGUUGAAGACGACGACGUUGAUAGGCCGGGUGUGUAAGCGCAGCGAUGCGUUGAGCUAACCGGUACUAAUGAACCGUGAGGCUUAACCUUACAACGCCGAAG
RNAcentral lists this ribosomal RNA (3010 nucleotides) under Salmonella enterica subsp. enterica. RNAcentral describes it as "bacterial LSU rRNA". It matches the Rfam family "Bacterial large subunit ribosomal RNA". Lineage: Bacteria; Pseudomonadati; Pseudomonadota; Gammaproteobacteria; Enterobacterales; Enterobacteriaceae. The record is from RNAcentral. RNAcentral also lists the same sequence under 1 other name.